CUGAGGUGGAUCUAAACUCCUCCUCUCCUCAGGUGUGUCGGCCGGUGAACCGGUGCAGGUCCCUGUCGUCAUCUGUGUCUCCAACGCUGCUGCCGUCGUCCUGACGCUGGUAACAUGUGGAUCAGUCCGUCACUGCUCAGAGAGGCUCAGAAGAAGGAAGGCGAUGCUGAACGCAAACCACGAAGUGGAAGUUUUAUCACCUUAACCCGUAGAUUUUAUUCACACGUUACACAGUGAGAAACAAGGUGACGGCAACGGUUUAUAGCAGUUAUCAGUUAGUUUCAGGGUUCGUCAUGAAUUUUAUCCAAACAUCUAGGUUCCAGAUGAUCUGAGUUACUGAGUCGUAGCUUUUAUCAACGUCCUAAUGUUACCGCACCAAAAAAACAGCGACUGUAACAGUAUUAGAGCAAUUGUCGCCCUCUGCUGGUCAUAAUUAAGAACUACAUCUUGAAGAACGUCUGCAUGUGAUAAAUGUUUUCACUCCUCAGGCGUUGAUACUCUGUCUUUAUUUAUGCUGUACCAUCUGUUGCUGUUUAGAUUCAUUUAUAUGCUGUCAUUGAACUGUUUUUUUGUGUUUGUUUAGCACUGGAUCCUUUACAGCAGCUGUUGAGUAAUAUUACUACAAAUGAAACCGUCGCUGCACAGCAGAAACAGUGAUCAGAGAGAACUGUGCUUUAACUUUGUUGAGUCACUGAGUCAAACUAUGAACUCGCUGCUGAAUUACAACAAACUCACUAUAAAGCUUUAAUUCAUUCUGCAUUUUACUCGUCAUGAGCAACAAUACAAAUCAGUGUAACAAGUUAUAAUGAUUGUAAAUCAGGGGAUUUACCCUUUUAUAAACUUUGUUUUACAUGAAUAAAUCUUUACUUUUUG
This is a long non-coding RNA of Betta splendens (Siamese fighting fish), 873 nucleotides long. RefSeq lists it as uncharacterized. The transcript has 2 exons. The record is from RefSeq and is a predicted model, not a curated record. Lineage: Eukaryota; Metazoa; Chordata; Actinopteri; Anabantiformes; Osphronemidae.